This 188-nucleotide non-coding RNA is filed under the name Roseovarius aestuarii. Lineage: Bacteria; Pseudomonadati; Pseudomonadota; Alphaproteobacteria; Rhodobacterales; Roseobacteraceae. The record is from RNAcentral.
UAUGACAGAAAGACUUACGGUGUCACAUUCGUGACUGAAAAGGGAACCGGGUGAAAGACCCGGACUGCCCCCGCAACUGUAAGCGGCGAGCGCCGAGGAAAGACCACUGGCCCGUUAAUACGGGGCUGGGAAGGCCAAAAGCGCUGUGACCCGCAAGUCAGGAGACCUGCCGCAAGUGACCCAACCGC